Molecule: ribosomal RNA, 301 nt
Filed under: uncultured bacterium
Lineage: Bacteria
Description: partial 16S ribosomal RNA
Rfam family: Bacterial small subunit ribosomal RNA
Source: RNAcentral
CAGUAGCCGCGGUAAUACGUAGGUGGCAAGCGUUGUCCGGAUUUAUUGGGCGUAAAACGAGCGCAGGCGGUCAAUUAAGUCUGAUGUGAAAGCCCCCGGCUCAACCGGGGAGGGUCAUUGGAAACUGGUUGACUUGAGUGCAGAAGAGGAGAGUGGAAUUCCAUGUGUAGCGGUGAAAUGCGUAGAUAUAUGGAGGAACACCAGUGGCGAAGGCGACUCUCUGGUCUGUAACUGACGCUGAGGCUCGAAAGCGUGGGUAGCAAACAGGAUUAGAUACCCCCGUAGUCCCUGUCUCUUAUAC